This 353-nucleotide unclassified non-coding RNA is filed under the name soil metagenome. RNAcentral's name for it is "partial contains 5.8S ribosomal RNA, internal transcribed spacer 2, and large subunit ribosomal RNA". The stretch from base 1 to 120 matches the Rfam family "5.8S ribosomal RNA", at positions 35 to 154 of the family's 154-position model. The record is from RNAcentral.
GAUGAAGAACGUAGCGAAAUGCGAUAAGUAAUGUGAAUUGCAGAAUUCAGUGAAUCAUCGAAUCUUUGAACGCACAUUGCGCCCGCCAGUACUCUGGCCGGCAUGCCUGUUCGAGCGUCAUUACAACCCUCAGGCCCCCGGGCCUGGCGUUGGGGAUCGGCGGAAGCCCCCUGCGGGCACAACGCCGUCCCCCAAAUACAGUGGCGGUCCCGCCGCAGCUUCCAUUGCGUAGUAGCUAACACCUCGCAACUGGAGAGCGGCGCGGCCACGCCGUAAAACACCCAACUUCUGAAUGUUGACCUCGAAUCAGGUAGGAAUACCCGCUGAACUUAAGCAUAUCAAUAAGCGGAGGA